UACAGAGGUCCCAAGCGUUGUUCGGAUUCAUUGGGCGUAAAGGGUGCGUAGGUGGCAUGGUAAGUCGGGUGUGAAAUCCCGGGGCUCAACCCCGGAACUGCACUCGAUACUGCCGUGCUCGAGUACUGGAGGGGAGACUGGAAUUUACGGUGUAGUAGUGAAAUGCGUAGAUAUCGUAAGGAAGACCGGUGGCGAAGGCUAGUCUCUGGACAGUUACUGACACUGAGGCACGAAGGCCAGGGGAGCAAACGGG
RNAcentral lists this ribosomal RNA (253 nucleotides) under uncultured bacterium. Its description in RNAcentral is "partial 16S ribosomal RNA". It matches the Rfam family "Bacterial small subunit ribosomal RNA", at positions 524 to 776 of the family's 1533-position model. The record is from RNAcentral.